GAUGAACGCUGGCGGCAUGCCUAAGACAUGCAAGUCGAACGAGGGAACCUGAAGAGUCUUUUAUUAAAUUGCGGAGCUUGCUCCAAGAUUUGAUUUUUGACAAUUUAGAUCCUUCCCUAGUGGCAAACGGGUGAGUAACACGUGGGUUAUCUGCCCUUAAGUUGGGAAUAACAGUUGGAAACGACUGCUAAUACCGAAUGUGCUCUACGGAGUAAAGGAGCUCUAAAGCUUCGCUUAAGGAUGAGCCUGCGGCGUAUUAGCUAGUUGGUGGGGUAAUGGCCUACCAAGGCGACGAUGCGUAGCCGAACUGAGAGGUUGAACGGCCACACUGGGACUGAGACACGGCCCAGACUCCUACGGGAGGCAGCAGUUAGGAAUAUUCGUCAAUGGGGGAAACCCUGAACGAGCAAUGCCGCGUGAACGAUGAAGGCCCUUUGGGUUGUAAAGUUCUGUUGUUUGGAAAGAAUUAUCAGUUUAGGAAAUGAAACUGAUUUGACGGUACCAUUCAAGAAAGCCACGGCUAAUUACGUGCCAGCAGCCGCGGUAAUACGUAAGUGGCGAGCGUUAUCCGGAUUUAUUGGGCGUAAAGGGUGCGCAGGCGGUUUAUAAGGUCUAAAAUCAAAUCUUGAGGCUUAACCUCAUGUCGUUUUAGAAACCGAUAGACUUGAGUAUGGUAGAGGCAAAUGGAAUUCCUAGUGUAGCGGUGGAAUGCGUAGAUAUUAGGAGGAACACCAGUGGCGAAGGCGGUUUGCUGGACCAUUACUGACGCUCAUGCACGAAAGCGUGGGGAGCAAAUAGGAUUAGAUACCCUAGUAGUCCACGCCGUAAACGAUGAGUACUAAGUGUCGGGUUACCGGUGCUGAAGUUAACACAUUAAGUACUCCGCCUGAGUAGUACGGUCGCAAGGCUGAAACUUAAAGGAAUUGACGGGCACCCGCACAAGCGGUGGAGCAUGCUGUUUAAUUCGAUACUACGCGAAAAACCUUACCUAGACUUGACAUCCCCGGCAAAACUAUAGAAAUAUAGCGGAGGUUAUCCGGGUGACAGGUGGUGCAUGGUUGUCGUCAGCUCGUGUCGUGAGAUGUUUGGUUAAGUCCAAUAACGAGCGCAACCCUCGUCUUUAGUUGCUAACAUUUAGUUGAGAACUUUAAAGAGACUGCCAGUGCAAACUGGAGGAAGGUGGGGAUGACGUCAAAUCAUCAUGCCCCUUACGUCUAGGGCUACAGGCGUGCUACAAUGGCCGAUACAACGAGUUGCAACAUAGCAAUAUGAAGCUAAUCUCUGAAAGUCGGUCUCAGUCCGGAUUGGAGUCUGCAAUUCGACUCCAUGAAGUUGGAAUCGCUAGUAAUCCCGAAUCAGAAUGUCGGGGUGAAUACGUUCCCGGGUGUUGUACACACCGCCCGUCACGCCACGGGAAUCGGUAAUGCCUAAAGUCGGUAGCCUAACCUUUUAGGAGGGGGCCGGCCAGGGCAGGAUCGGUGACUGGGGUGAAGUCGUAACAAGGUAUCCCUACGAGAACGUGGGGAUGGAUCACCUCCUUUCU
Molecule: ribosomal RNA, 1543 nt
Filed under: uncultured Bacillota bacterium
Lineage: Bacteria; Bacillati; Bacillota
Description: uncultured Firmicutes bacterium 16S ribosomal RNA
Rfam family: Bacterial small subunit ribosomal RNA
Source: RNAcentral